Molecule: RNA transcript, 1428 nt
Organism: Vigna radiata var. radiata (mung bean)
Lineage: Eukaryota; Viridiplantae; Streptophyta; Magnoliopsida; Fabales; Fabaceae
Gene name: V-type proton ATPase 16 kDa proteolipid subunit-like
Exons: 4
Source: RefSeq, a predicted model, not a curated record
ACGUGUGAUUUUAAAGGGAAUAGACGUGGAAAUCCCACGUUUUCAUCACGGCAACAGAAUCAUCGCGACCCUCAGAGAUCAGUCUCUCCCGAGAAUUUGAAUUUCUCAGAUCUAUUCGACGUCGUUGCAGAUCUAUCAACGAUCAUGGCUGGUUUCAGCGGUGAUGAAACGGCACCGUUUUUCGGCUUCCUCGGAGCCGCAGCUGCCCUCGUGUUCUCCUGUAUGGGAGCUGCCUAUGGCACAGCAAAGAGUGGUGUGGGCGUGGCUUCCAUGGGUGUGAUGAGACCUGAGCUAGUGAUGAAGUCCAUUGUUCCUGUUGUUAUGGCUGGAGUUUUGGGUAUUUAUGGCCUUAUUAUUGCUGUUAUUAUUAGUACCGGUAUUAAUCCCAAGGCCAAAUCUUAUUACCUCUUUGAUGGUUACGCUCAUCUCUCCUCUGGUCUUGCCUGUGGCUUGGCUGGGCUAUCUGCUGGCAUGGCUAUUGGUAUUGUUGGUGAUGCUGGUGUUAGAGCCAAUGCACAGCAACCAAAACUUUUUGUUGGAAUGAUUCUCAUCCUCAUUUUUGCCGAAGCUCUCGCCCUUUAUGGUCUCAUUGUCGGUAUUAUCCUGUCUUCUCGUGCUGGCCAGUCUAGAGCCGACUAAGAAAGGAGUUGUGCUGCUAAAUAUUCUUUGACCACCCAUCUGUUUUAACCUCCUUUUAAAGGGGGUGAGGGAGAUUUGGGCCUUAGUAAUUGGGCUUAUUGUGGUCAGCAGAAGCAAUUUCCUUCGGCUGGUAGAUUUGAUUAUCCACUUAUUGGGCCAUUGCCAUAAUAGAAGCUGUUUGGAUGCUGCUAAAAAGAAUCGGCCUGGAAGUUGUAGCUGCUGCAACGAUUGUUGGAUUGGGCCGCUAGACUUGGAUUGCAUUUAAGUUGGACAACAUCAUUUUGGUGCGGCUUGGCAACAGAUGAAGGGGUCUUCGUGGUACACACUUCAUUUGCAAAAUGAAAAUAAACGCUAGUGUUUCAUUUUGGAGAAAGCACUCCUUAGAGCUAGGGCUUUAUGCGAGAGAAUGCGAGAUGAAGAGAGGACCUGACCGGAGCUGAACUGGCAGAGAUGAAUGUUGAUCCAAGGGCUCAAAUAGAAGGAUGCACAGUGGUCGUCCGAUGAUCAAAGCUUCUCGAGCAAGUUAUUUUUUUCCUUUUCCCUCUUUCAAUUUUUUUUCUUUUGUUUUCUGACCCUAUAAAGGGUGCUUCUACCAUGUAAAUAGAAUUUUUUUUUUAGACACACACAGACGCACUUUCAUUUGUUUUCUACAGUUCUCUAUUCUCUAGAUUAGGGUUUUAUCGCUUCCGGUAGAGUCCAGUUCUCGUGUUCUUGCUUGUUCCUCUUCGGUAAAUUCUUGUAUUCUCUGUUCAUUCAAUAAAAAUUUCUGUGAUGUUUCUGUUCGAUUUA